AAACAUUUUUAUUAAAUUUAUUAAUAAUAAAAUCUGCUCAAUGAAAUUAAAUAGCCGCAAUAUGUGCUAAGGUAGUAUAAUAAUUUGUCUUUUAAUUAAAGACCAAACAAAAGAUUAAACAUUUUAAUUAAUAUAAAAAUUUAAACAUUAAAAUUAUUUUAAUUUUUAUAAAAAAAUUAUUUUUAAAAAAGACGACAAGACCCUAUUGAACUUUAACUUUAGUUAAACUGGGGCAGUUAUAUAAAUAUAUUUUUUCUAUUUUAUAAAAAAUAUAAAGAUCUAGUAAAACUACUUAAUAAACCAAGUUACCAUAGGGAUAACAGCAUAAUAAUUUUGAAAAGUUCUUAUUUAUAAAAUAGAUUAUGACCUCGAUGUUGAAUUAAUAUACUUAUUCAUGCAAUAAUGAAUAAAGAAAGUCUGUUCGACUUUUAAAUCAUUACAUGAUCUG
This 448-nucleotide ribosomal RNA is filed under the name Spinoctenus eberhardi. RNAcentral describes it as "partial large subunit ribosomal RNA". Lineage: Eukaryota; Metazoa; Arthropoda; Arachnida; Araneae; Ctenidae. The record is from RNAcentral.